This 215-nucleotide long non-coding RNA is filed under the name Elaeis guineensis (African oil palm). RNAcentral describes it as "long non-coding RNA (EGUI_LNC070458)". Lineage: Eukaryota; Viridiplantae; Streptophyta; Magnoliopsida; Arecales; Arecaceae. The record is from RNAcentral.
ACUUUAUGCUCUUCAGAGACUUUCUCUUCGAGCUCAAUCUUCCUCCCAUUGCCUCCAUCUUGGAUAAACUUCUUUUUUCAAGAGAACGGCAUGGUGGCUCACAAUUACAUUAUGAUCCUUAAAAAGAUAAAAGUAGUAUCCCAUAAUUUUCUUAAGAUAUCCUAUAAAAUAAAUCCUAAAGGAUCUAGCCUCUAACUUGUCUGCCUGCUGUCGCU